This 379-nucleotide long non-coding RNA is filed under the name Rattus norvegicus (Norway rat). Its description in RNAcentral is "long non-coding RNA NONRATT019375". Lineage: Eukaryota; Metazoa; Chordata; Mammalia; Rodentia; Muridae. The record is from RNAcentral.
GGGGAAAUGGAGACAAGAAGGCAGCUUCAGAAAUGUCAAACGCUUCAGCCUCGCAGACGCUCAGAUUGAAAUAUUUGGCUGGAAAAUAUCAAAAGUCUAAUCAAUUAAGAGGCGUGACCCUGGAACAACCGGACUGUGUCACCCCAUCUGCGCCUCUGCAGAGCCAUGGCGGCCGAGGGGGUGCCUACGGGAUUCAAAACUGGGGCAGAGGCGCGCACCGCCAGAAGCCUUGGCUUGUGGAACCCAAACAAGGUCUUCCACUCAGCACCUCCCAUACUUUUCCCUUUAAGUAUCCAGAUUUGGGAAUGUACCCAAACGAAAGAUAGGGUGGCUUUUUUUUUUUUUAAAUACAUUCAAUAAAAACGACAUUUGGCACAAG